UGAUGAUGAUGAUGGUGAUGAUGAUGAUGGUGAUGAUCAGUGGUGAUAUUUGCCAUCAUUGCUUCACAUACACG
This is a non-coding RNA of Brugia malayi, 74 nucleotides long. The record is from RefSeq and is a predicted model, not a curated record. NCBI's taxonomy places the organism in Eukaryota, Metazoa, Nematoda, Chromadorea, Rhabditida, Onchocercidae.